GGGAUUCUCUAGGCAAGAACACUGGGCUCAACUCUCCUGGCUACAUGUUCCAGUAUGAUUUUACAAAGUGUUGAGAAUGGACAUCUUUGUCUUAUUCCUGAGCAUCAAAAGACAGCUGUCGGUCUUUUAUGAUUGUGAUGAAACCUGUAAUAUUUUCAUAGACUGCCUUUAUCAGCAAGAAUAUUCCUUUCUAUUUUUUAUUUAUUUUUUCAUCAUGAAAAGUCAUUACUGCUUGAAAGGUGCUGCUAAAGGGAAGCCCAAGUCAGAGCAAUACCUAUUAUAGAAGCAAAAAGAAAAAAAAAGCAAAUAAAUCCAACAUGGGAAAGAAAUUCUCCAGAAGAUUUAAGACAGAGAGGAGUUUGUUAUUGGAUCUUUGACUGAUGGUCAAUGCUAAGAAAUGUGCAAGUGUCUGAACAUCUUUGUAAUUUCUAUUUUGAAAAAGUCCCUGGAACACUCAGAAGAUGAUUUUCCACUAGGCCAUUCAAUGUC
Long non-coding RNA from Capra hircus (goat), 489 nucleotides. RefSeq lists it as uncharacterized. NCBI's taxonomy places the organism in Eukaryota, Metazoa, Chordata, Mammalia, Artiodactyla, Bovidae. The record is from RefSeq and is a predicted model, not a curated record. The transcript is spliced from 3 exons.